UUAAUAGCGUAUUCGUUUGACGUUAGCGACAGAAGAAGCACCGGCUAACUCCGUGCCAGCAGCCGCGGUAAUACGGAGGGUGCGAGCGUUAAUCGGAAUUACUGGGCGUAAAGCGCAUGCAGGUGGUUUGUUAAGUCAGAUGUGAAAGACCCCGGGCGUCAACCUGGGAAUUGCAUUUGAAACUGGCAAACUAGAGUACUGUAGAGGGGGGUAGGAAUUUCAGGUGUAGCGGUGAAAUAGCGUAGAGAUCUGAAGGAAUACCGGUGGCGAAGGCGGCCCCCUCGGACAGAUACUGACACUCAGAUGCGAAAGCGUGGGGAGCAAACAGGAUUAGAUACCCUGGUAG
This 346-nucleotide ribosomal RNA is filed under the name uncultured bacterium. Its description in RNAcentral is "bacterial SSU rRNA". It matches the Rfam family "Bacterial small subunit ribosomal RNA", at positions 453 to 793 of the family's 1533-position model. The record is from RNAcentral.